RNAcentral lists this ribosomal RNA (534 nucleotides) under Cristarma ortmanni. RNAcentral's name for it is "Chiromantes ortmanni partial 16S ribosomal RNA". It matches the Rfam family "Bacterial large subunit ribosomal RNA", at positions 1829 to 2597 of the family's 2925-position model. Lineage: Eukaryota; Metazoa; Arthropoda; Malacostraca; Decapoda; Sesarmidae. The record is from RNAcentral.
GUCUGUUUGGAGAUAUAAAAAGUCUAGCCUGCCCACUGAUAAAUAUUUAAAGGGCCGCGGUAUUUUGACUGUGCAAAGGUAGCAUAAUCGUUAGUUUUUUAAUUGGAAUCUUGUAUGAAUGGUUUGACAAAAAAAAAUCUGUCUCUAUAAUUAUUUAUUGAAUUUAACCUUUAAGUGAAAAGGCUUAAAUAAGUUAAAAAGACGAUAAGACCCUAUAAAACUUAAUAUUAUAUUCUUUAUUUAAUUAAAUUUUAAACUAUAUAAAAAUUUAAUAAUUAAUAUUUAUUUUAUUGGGGCGAUAAUGGUAAAAUUUCUAUUAACUGUUAUUUUUUUCUAGACAAAGAUAAGUGAAUGAAACAAGUAUUUAAAUGAUCCUGUAUUAUAGAUUAAAAGUUUAAGUUACUUUAGGGAUAACAGCGUUAUUUUUUUUGAGAGUUCUUAUCGAGAAAAAAGUUUGCGACCUCGAUGUUGAAUUAAAAUAUCUAUAUAAUUGUAGCAGUUAUAUGAGAAGGUCUGUUCGACCUUUAAAAUUUU